Molecule: ribosomal RNA, 279 nt
Filed under: uncultured bacterium
Lineage: Bacteria
Description: partial 16S ribosomal RNA
Rfam family: Bacterial small subunit ribosomal RNA
Source: RNAcentral
UGCCAGCCGCCGCGGUAAUACGGAGGGGGUUAGCGUUGUUCGGAAUUACUGGGCGUAAAGCGCACGUAGGCGGAUUAGUCAGUUAGAGGUGAAAUCCCAGGGCUCAACCCUGGAACUGCCUUUAAUACUGCUAGUCUUGAGUUCGAGAGAGGUGAGUGGAAUUCCAAGUGUAGAGGUGAAAUUCGUAGAUAUUUGGAGGAACACCAGUGGCGAAGGCGGCUCACUGGCUCGAUACUGACGCUGAGAUGCGAAGGCAUGGGUAGCAAACGGGAUUAGAUA